AUGGCUUCAACUUACUCCGCCCGUUUCCGUUCCACCCAAACGAUGGGAGAAGAGGAUGGCACUUGUUCCCGCCUCCAUAAUCUUUACCCAUGCAAAUGUGUGUCUUCAUCCCUGCCUCCAAUGAGGUCCGUCAUGGCCUUCCCGCAUUCGGCAAGGUCAGGCAAAUAUGUUGGGUCAGCGGCGGCAUUCCCAUCUCAUAUUUGGGACUACACUACUGCUGCUCCACAAACAAAAUUCUUAGUUGUCGUUCCUCAAAAAAAUAGAAAUAAUUUAGUUGCCCAAAGAGGAGCAGAUGCGAUAUAA
This 303-nucleotide ribosomal RNA is filed under the name Triticum aestivum (bread wheat). RNAcentral's name for it is "partial small subunit ribosomal RNA". Lineage: Eukaryota; Viridiplantae; Streptophyta; Magnoliopsida; Poales; Poaceae. The record is from RNAcentral.